This 19-nucleotide small RNA is filed under the name Arabidopsis thaliana (thale cress). RNAcentral's name for it is "ATSL052250". Lineage: Eukaryota; Viridiplantae; Streptophyta; Magnoliopsida; Brassicales; Brassicaceae. The record is from RNAcentral.
UCUUCGUCUUUCUUUUUCU